RNAcentral lists this ribosomal RNA (492 nucleotides) under uncultured bacterium. Its description in RNAcentral is "partial 16S ribosomal RNA". It matches the Rfam family "Bacterial small subunit ribosomal RNA", at positions 29 to 507 of the family's 1533-position model. The record is from RNAcentral.
AGUGAACGCUGGCGGUAGGCCUAACACAUGCAAGUCGAACGGCAGCACAGUAAGAGCUUGCUCUUACGGGUGGCGAGUGGCGGACGGGUGAGGAAUACAUCGGAAUCUACUUUUUCGUGGGGGAUAACGUAGGGAAACUUACGCUAAUACCGCAUACGACCUACGGGUGAAAGCAGGGGAUCUUCGGACCUUGCGCGAUUGAAUGAGCCGAUGUCGGAUUAGCUAGUUGGCGGGGUAAAGGCCCACCAAGGCGACGAUCCGUAGCUGGUCUGAGAGGAUGAGCAGCAACACUGGAACUGAGACAAGGUCCAGACUCCUACGGGAGGCAGCAGUGGGGAAUAUUGGACAAUGGGCGCAAGCCUGAUCCAGCCAUACCGCGUGGGUGAAGAAGGCCUUCGGGUUGUAAAGCCCUUUUGUUGGGAAAGAAAAGCAGCAGGUUAAUACCCCGCUGUUCUGACGGUACCCAAAGAAUAAGCACCGGCUAACUUCGUG